UAUGUACUCCCUCCGUCCGGAAAUACUUGUCGGAGAAAUGGAUGUAGAUGUAUUUUAGUUCUAGAUACAUCCAUUUUUAUGCAUUUAUACGACAAGUAUUUCCGGACGGAGGGAGUAUGUG
Triticum aestivum (bread wheat) is the source of this 121-nucleotide non-coding RNA. NCBI's taxonomy places the organism in Eukaryota, Viridiplantae, Streptophyta, Magnoliopsida, Poales, Poaceae. The record is from Rfam.